AGGUCAUCAUUGCUAGAUGGCUAAAUCGAUUGGUAUAGAAAGUUAUUUCUAUGCUACUGGCUUAGGUUUGAACCUAUGAAAUCAUAUGCAUUAGAAGAUUUGGUCAGAUCUGAUGGCUGAAGAGUCCAAUCGGAUUGUGACUCAAGUGAAGAGUCCUACUUAGAUUAGGACUCUGUGGGAGAGUCUCACUGAGAUUGAGACUCUAUCAUUU
Molecule: long non-coding RNA, 211 nt
Filed under: Elaeis guineensis (African oil palm)
Lineage: Eukaryota; Viridiplantae; Streptophyta; Magnoliopsida; Arecales; Arecaceae
Description: long non-coding RNA (EGUI_LNC080181)
Source: RNAcentral